GAUGAACGCUAGCUACAGGCUUAACACAUGCAAGUCGAGGGGCAGCAUGAACUUAGCUUGCUAAGUUUGAUGGCGACCGGCGCACGGGUGAGUAACACGUAUCCAACCUUCCGUUUACUCAGGGAUAGCCUUUCGAAAGAAAGAUUAAUACCUGAUAGUAUGGUGAGAUUGCAUGAUAACACCAUUAAAGAUUUAUUGGUAAACGAUGGGGAUGCGUUCCAUUAGGUAGUAGGCGGGGUAACGGCCCACCUAGCCUGCGAUGGAUAGGGGUUCUGAGAGGAAGGUCCCCCANAUUGGAACUGAGACACGGUCCAAACUCCUACGGGAGGCAGCAGUGAGGAAUAUUGGUCAAUGGGCGAGAGCCUGAACCAGCCAAGUAGCGUGAAGGAUGAAGGUCCUACGGAUUGUAAACUUCUUUAUAAGGGAAUAAACCUCCCACGUGUGGGAGCUUGUAUGUACCUUAUGAAUAAGCAUCGGCUAACUCCGUGCCAGCAGCCGCGGU
This 502-nucleotide ribosomal RNA is filed under the name uncultured bacterium. Its description in RNAcentral is "bacterial SSU rRNA". It matches the Rfam family "Bacterial small subunit ribosomal RNA", at positions 28 to 521 of the family's 1533-position model. The record is from RNAcentral.